This 932-nucleotide long non-coding RNA is filed under the name Olea europaea subsp. europaea. The record is from RNAcentral. Lineage: Eukaryota; Viridiplantae; Streptophyta; Magnoliopsida; Lamiales; Oleaceae.
UCCAUAUUGCACUAGCAAGCAUCUCGUUAACCAGCAAUUGUCAUACACACAACACAAUCAAAUAUUAACAUUUAAAAUUAAAUCCUUAAACAUAUGAAGGAUUAAAGUCCAUUCCAUUCAUCUAUAGAUUCGAUACAUUUAGAAUACAAGCCACCAAUUUUCUUACUUCAAUACAGGGGAAAAUCGUUUAUAUGGUGGCUCCAAUCUAAAGACAAUUUUACAAGAAUUCAUUCUGCAUUCAUUCUCCCCAUUGGUGGCACCAACAAUGAAGACACUUUCCUUUGCAUUCAUUCUGCAAGAAUUCUUAUUGUCCAUAAACAAGCCAUAUAGCAAAUCAAAGCUAUCACUAGCCGUAUUCUCCACCAAAUUCAACAGAGUCUCAUACCCUUUUGUAUUCACUGGGGUACUCUGCAAUUACAACUUCUCCAAAAUCCUCCCCGUUGUGUGCGUAAUAAACUGAGAUAAUGCAGCACAUUCAUCAUCCUCAUUCCCAACCUAACUUUAUCAAACACAGAUGCUUAUUUCUGCCAACCAUUUUUCCCAAUUUCGGGACCAAACAUGGGAGGGAAGAUAUUGUAAGAAAAUAUUGUGUGUUAUGCCUAAGGCCUUGAAUAGGAAGGGAUUCGAGCACUGAUUCAAUGGAAAUAACGGAGGUGCAAAGAAGAAGAUCUGGAUGUUGUUCACAGAGGUCGUUGAGGUCAAAGAAGAAGGCGGCGCUAAGGGAUUGCAAUGAACUGGCCGAAGCUACCAUAUCUAAUAAUGGCGAUUUUGAGCUUCAUUGACUGGGCGAAGGGGUUAAGGAGUUGGGCUUCAUCGUCGUAAGGUUGUGCGACGUCUAUGGUUUGGACCCCAAGGCGGUUGAGGUGACAGGAGAGGACGGUGGGAUGGUAAAAUGGUGGAGAGGUGAAGGGAAAUUUGUGGGUAUGGAAAGA